RNAcentral lists this ribosomal RNA (697 nucleotides) under uncultured fungus. RNAcentral describes it as "eukaryotic LSU rRNA". It matches the Rfam family "Eukaryotic large subunit ribosomal RNA", at positions 24 to 664 of the family's 3401-position model. Lineage: Eukaryota; Fungi. The record is from RNAcentral.
CCCGCUGAACUUAAGCAUAUUACUCAGCGGAGGAAAAGAAAACAACCGUGAUUCCCUCAGUCAGCGGCGAGCGAAGAGGGACCGAACCCAAUGCCGAAUCCAAGCUUAAACGCUCUGUGAGUUGUGGCAUUCGCCAUGAGUGGCUGGUGUGGGCCUGGCAAAAUUCAAGCGCAAAGCAAACCCAUUGCUGAAACCUACCCUUCAAUUGAGUAUUGAGCCAUAGAAGGUGUUAGCCCAUUUGAGCCAGAAACCCAUGCCUCAUCAAGUGGCACAAGCGAGUAGCACUGCUUGGGAGUGCAGUGUUAAGCGGCAGGUAUGUGUCUGCCAAGGUUAAAUAUAAAGUGGGAAGACCGAUAGCAAAUAAGUAGCGUGAGCGAAAGUUUGAAAAGAUCUUUGGAAAGAGAGUGACAUAGAACCUGAAGUCGUGACAACGAUAAUGGAAGUACCUCCAUUUUAUUCUGGCCAAAACCAGCCCUGCGGCAUUCUACGCGGAAGGACCUAAACACGCCUUCUGUGCCAAACUCAAAUGCAAAACCGGGGCUUGGGUAAAUCGAGCGGAGAUAAAGCGGCGUGGCACUGCCGUACCACUUUCCGAAAGAUUGCGGUGCGACCAGCAAGCCUGCGUCACUUCUCCGGGAACUCGGUGUUGGCGAACACAAAGUGGAAAUGGGGUGCCUCCACCCGUCUUGAAACACGG